GUAGACGUAGUUUAAUAAAAACCUUAGAUUGUGAUUCUAAAAACAAGGGUUAAAAUCCCUUCAUCCACC
Molecule: transfer RNA, 69 nt
Filed under: Solea senegalensis (Senegalese sole)
Lineage: Eukaryota; Metazoa; Chordata; Actinopteri; Pleuronectiformes; Soleidae
Description: tRNA-His
Rfam family: tRNA
About the family: Transfer RNA (tRNA) molecules are approximately 80 nucleotides in length.
Source: RNAcentral